Molecule: ribosomal RNA, 518 nt
Filed under: uncultured bacterium
Lineage: Bacteria
Description: bacterial SSU rRNA
Rfam family: Bacterial small subunit ribosomal RNA
Source: RNAcentral
GGACGAACGCUGGCGGCGUGCCUAAUACAUGCAAGUCGAACGGUCUUUCUAUGGAAGCUUGCUUCCACUGAGAAGAUAGUGGCGAACGGGUGAGUAACACGUGGGUAACCUGCCCAUAAGAGGGGGAUAACAUCCGGAAACGGGUGCUAAUACCGCAUAGUUUUCUUGAUCGCAUGAUUGGGAAAGGAAAGACGGCCUUUGUGCUGUCGCUUAUGGAUGGACCCGCGGCGUAUUAGUUAGUUGGUGAGGUAACGGCUCACCAAGACGAUGAUACGUAGCCGACCUGAGAGGGUGAUCGGCCACAUUGGGACUGAGACACGGCCCAAACUCCUACGGGAGGCAGCAGUAGGGAAUCUUCCGCAAUGGACGAAAGUCUGACGGAGCAACGCCGCGUGAGUGAAGAAAGGUUUUCGGAUCGUAAAACUCUGUUGUCAGAGAAGAACAAGUUGGAGAGUAACUGCUCCAGCCUUGACGGUAUCUGACCAGAAAGCCACGGCUAACUACGUGCCAGCAGCGGC